This 274-nucleotide unclassified non-coding RNA is filed under the name Hevea brasiliensis (rubber tree). Lineage: Eukaryota; Viridiplantae; Streptophyta; Magnoliopsida; Malpighiales; Euphorbiaceae. The record is from RNAcentral.
ACGAGACCAAGAAAGAAACACAUGCAUCUCGAUAUAUAUAUAUAUAUAACUUGUUAAUAUAAAUUGUUGUGUGAUAUCAUUAGCUUGAUAAUUUAGAGAGCCAUAAUUAUAUUGUUCCUCAAAGGUGAGCUCAUUAAAUAACUUCAUCAUUUAUUGUUCAUAUUUUUGCUGAGCCACCUGUCCCUCACGUGUCCACUUUCUGGAACUGGAAAUCCUUUAUUUAUUUCUAUAAUUUGUCAUUUCCUUAAUUAGGUUAUUUAUUCUAUUUCUAUGG